ACGAGUUUUGAGGUUCCUUCCAGGCACCCCUUGAUUUGGGGGUUAGCUGUCUGCAGAAAGGGAACAUACCAGUGAAAUCAUAAAGCAGAAGAGAAUGGCAGAAAACACCAAGGCUGAUUCAGAACUUCAGGAUUUGGAGUGGGACCUUCAAUCUCCCGAAUUUCUAUGGCAAAAAGAGAGGAAAGUGCUGUCCUCAGCUGUGUGAAAACUCCCAUCUCCCCACACAACCCUGCUGUAAAAUCUGCCUUUUCACUCUUCUGGGGUACUUUCCUCAGCAUCAUUAGUGAUCCCCCACCACUGAAUUUUGAAGAAGGCUUGAAAGAUGAAAAAACCCUUUGGCACAAAUCUGUGCUGGGCUUCUGCCAUCAGCUGAUCUGCAACAGUUUGGCAUAACCUCCUUCUUUACACGACUGGGUCCUAGGGUAGCUUUGAUCAAUUUUUUAAAAGUUGGAAAAUCUUUCCCAUUCUUUAAAGAAAAUAUAAGGACUUCAGCAUCCAAGGCCUUAUAACACUUGAGCUGAUUUGUUUGGUGAGCUGAAAUUGUCAUUUCUGGGGAUGAAGGUGUGUUUCAUGAAUGUGCCAUGUCACUCUGUCCUUGUGCACAGCCAUCACCUCUGGAUCCUGGCUGAAGGACAGCCCUCUUCGGAAGGGAGACAGUGAUUCUUUUGUUGUUCAGGUUUCCUUCUGAAGAGAGUAAAGUCUUAAAAGCUUAAGAGAAAACAAGACCUUUUGAUAUCUAUGAGCAUGUGGGCCUUAGAUGAAAAGAUGGCCAAUGAUUCAAGGGGAUGCUGCACCAGACUCUAUGUGAAGAGCAUGAGAGCUUCUGCCCUGGCAGAGGUAGGAAGAGAUGAAUAAUUUUCAGGUGCUUUAGUUAAUGCCAUAUACCUAGCCAGAUGAUUUUUGUUGUCACUUUUUUUUUUUUUAUUUGUAUCCAUACCUAUUCUAUUUUGUACAUUCAAUGUGUCUAUUGACUGCACAUACAGAGCAAGUUGUUUACUGCUGUCACAAAUCCUUAUUUACUGGCUGGGCUUUGUCAUGAGAGUGCCCUGCAGUACCCUGCCUAUGAAAACAAUUUGUUGGGUGAGUUCUGAAACACUGUCUUGUUCCUAGUUUUCUGUUAUUAUAAGAUGGGAUCAAAACACAUUGUGACUUUCCCUUGACUGACAGAAGAAUUGCAAUAUAUUUAUUACACAAUUUUAAUGGGAAAAGAUAGUUCUUUUCCCUGUUAGAACUUGGGUUAUUUGGAUCAAUGUGUUCUUUCUUUAAAAGAUUUGUUGUGGAGACUGCAUUCUGUAUAUUCAAUAGAUUGCUACAGAUGUGUGUCUUUAGAACAUAUUUCAGCCAGUGCUUUAUUGUUAAUAAUAUAAGAAGCCUCUAUGUUAAACAUGCAGAAGUAAUUUCUGUUGUGUAUUACAAACAUGCAGCAGAAAACAUACAGGCAUUCUGUCUCCAUUUAUUGCCUACCUGCUGAAGCUACCUCCAAACACCUCUAUAAACUGUUGCAACAAAAUUUUGUAUAUGGGCUGUGCUUGAGAGACUAAGAGCAUUAUUGUCAGUGGGGCUGGUUGUAUGCAAGUAAGAUGAUCUAAGGUCCAAAUCCAGCUGGGCUGUUGCUGUGCAGGAUACAGGCUGGUAUUUAUGUUGUUAAUCUGCUAAUUCAGGGCCCAGGGAUAUUUGAUUUUGGAUUUCUGGUGUAGUAUUACCUAGUAAAAGUGGCACUAAAGAACUAAUCAUUAAGUUACAUGACAUGAAAUUUCCUAUUAUGAAUAUGAAGAACCUGAAAUGUUGCAUUUGACUGGGCAAAAAGUGUUUUUUUCACAUUGGUUCCAAGAAAGAUUCUACAUAUAAAACUUGGUUCAUUCCCUUUAUCUGGGGAAGACUUGUUGACAGUAUAAUAUAUUUUAAUUCUUUACAUUAUGUGUCACAGGAAAUUAUUUUAAUCAUUCCUUCCUUAGAAAAUAUUAUCGGAAAUACAUAUCUUUCUGUGAAAUAGAUUUGAUGUUCCUGUGGCCCUACAGCUUAUACUUUGUAUAAACAUUCAGAAGCUUUACUAGCCAUGACAUGAACUUGGGAAGAUGAAAUUAUACACCACAGCCAUUAAUUGCUUCAGACAGAAAUUUUAGAAAUUAAUUUCCAGUAAUAUUCUGGAGCUUAACAUUGAAAUAGUUGAAAUUGGGGCUGCCAUUUCCAAGAGGAAUCAAUCAAUAAAGAAACAAAAAUAAUUGUGAAAGUGAAAAAU
Cyanistes caeruleus (blue tit) is the source of this 2239-nucleotide long non-coding RNA. The record is from Ensembl. NCBI's taxonomy places the organism in Eukaryota, Metazoa, Chordata, Aves, Passeriformes, Paridae.